GUAACACCCGAAGUCGGUGAGGUAACCUUUUUGGAGCCAGCCGCCUAAGGUGGGAUAGAUGAUUGGGGUGAAGUCGUAACAAGGUAGCCGUAUCGGAAGGUGCGGCUGGAUCACCUCCUUUCUAAGG
RNAcentral lists this ribosomal RNA (127 nucleotides) under Enterococcus faecalis. RNAcentral describes it as "partial 16S ribosomal RNA". It matches the Rfam family "Bacterial small subunit ribosomal RNA", at positions 1414 to 1533 of the family's 1533-position model. Lineage: Bacteria; Bacillati; Bacillota; Bacilli; Lactobacillales; Enterococcaceae. The record is from RNAcentral.